This 497-nucleotide ribosomal RNA is filed under the name uncultured bacterium. RNAcentral's name for it is "partial 16S ribosomal RNA". It matches the Rfam family "Bacterial small subunit ribosomal RNA", at positions 28 to 507 of the family's 1533-position model. The record is from RNAcentral.
GACGAACGCUGGCGGCGUGCCUAAUACAUGCCAGUUGAGCGCUGAAGGUUGGUACUUGUACCAACUGGAUGAGCAGCGAACGGGUGAGUAACGCGUGGGGAAUCUGCCUUUGAGCGGGGGACAACAUUUGGAAACGAAUGCUAAUACCGCAUAAAAACUUUAAACACAAGUUUUAAGUUUGAAAGAUGCAAUUGCAUCACUCAAAGAUGAUCCCGCUUUGUAUUAGCUAGUUGGUGAGGUAAAGGCUCACCAAGGCGAUGAUACAUAGCCGACCUGAGAGGGUGAUCGGCCACAUUGGGACUGAGACACGGCCCAAACUCCUACGGGAGGCAGCAGUAGGGAAUCUUCGGCAAUGGACGAAAGUCUGACCGAGCAACGCCGCGUGAGUGAAGAAGGUUUUCGGAUCGUAAAACUCUGUUGGUAGAGAAGAACGUUGGUGAGAGUGGAAAGCUCAUCAAGUGACGGUAACUACCCAGAAAGGGACGGCUAACUACGUG